GAUGAAGAACGUAGCGAAAUGCGAUACGUAAUGUGAAUUGCAGAAUUCAGUGAAUCAUCGAGUCUUUGAACGCACAUUGCGCCCCCUGGUAUUCCGGGGGGCAUGCCUGUCCGAGUGUCAUUGCUGCCCUCAAGCACGGCUUGUGUGUUGGGCCUCCGUCCUCCUCCCGGGGGACGGGCCCGAAAGGCAGCGGCGGCACCGCGUCCGGUCCUCGAGCGUAUGGGGCUUCGUCACCCGCUCUUGUAGGCCCGGCCGGCGCUUGCCGACACAUCAAUCUUUUUUCCAGGUUGACCUCCGAUCAGGUAGGGAUACCCGCUGAACUUAAGCAUAUCAAUAAGCGGAGGA
This 345-nucleotide unclassified non-coding RNA is filed under the name soil metagenome. RNAcentral describes it as "partial contains 5.8S ribosomal RNA, internal transcribed spacer 2, and large subunit ribosomal RNA". The stretch from base 1 to 120 matches the Rfam family "5.8S ribosomal RNA", at positions 35 to 154 of the family's 154-position model. The record is from RNAcentral.